GUGGGGAAUCUUGCGCAAUGGGCGAAAGCCUGACGCAGCCAUGCCGCGUGGAUGAUGAAGGUCUUAGGAUUGUAAAAUCCUUUCACCGGUGAAGAUAAUGACUGUAGCCGGAGAAGAAGCCCCGGCUAACUUCGUGCCAGCAGCCGCGGUAAUACGAAGGGGGCUAGCGUUGCUCGGAUUUACUGGGCGUAAAGGGCGCGUAGGCGGACAUUUAAGUCAGGGGUGAAAUCCCGGGGCUCAACCUCGGAACUGCCUUUGAUACUGGGUGUCUUGAGUAUGAGAGAGGUGGGUGGAACUCCGAGUGUAGAGGUGAAAUUCGUAGAUAUUCGGAAGAACACCAGUGGCGAAGGCGACACACUGGCUCAUUACUGACGCUGAGGCGCGAAAGCGUGGGGAGCAAACAGGAUUAGAUACCCGUGUAGUCC
This 425-nucleotide ribosomal RNA is filed under the name uncultured bacterium. RNAcentral's name for it is "partial 16S ribosomal RNA". It matches the Rfam family "Bacterial small subunit ribosomal RNA", at positions 354 to 796 of the family's 1533-position model. The record is from RNAcentral.